This 1776-nucleotide long non-coding RNA is filed under the name Homo sapiens (human). Its description in RNAcentral is "HSALNT0392092". The record is from RNAcentral. Lineage: Eukaryota; Metazoa; Chordata; Mammalia; Primates; Hominidae.
AAUGCUGCCGGCUGCUCCCAACGUGAGGCCCAGCCUCAGCUGUGGAGCAAAGGUGCACCUCCAGGAGCAUCUCCACCAAACCUCAACGAAGACCACCCCCCCCAGGAGGGGCAAGCUGGAACCCCCUGAGCUGACCUCCUGGGGCCUCCUUCGGCCCCUUUAACCAAGCACGGUGGAGCCCAGGCUAUCCUGUCCACGAUUGCACCGCAGACGGGCGCCUGAGUGCCCGCGAGCACACACUGCUUUCAGGUGAUGUCCUUAAACUUUGGAUCUCCUAGACGAGCUUGCCCCUCUCAGUAAGCCCCAGGCCUCCUAAGGCCAUUUCUCAACAGGAGCCGUGGGCCCUGGCACAGGUAGGGUGGAGCUUAGCACUCUCCCCUGUAGACUCAGAUGGCUCUCAUAUGCGUAUUUCUCUCUUUUUUUUUUUUUGGAGACAGGGUCUUGCUUGUUCUGUCACCCAAGCGUGAUCUGGUCUCACUGCAGCCUCAACCUCCGGGGCUCAAGCAAUCCUCUCGCCUAAGCCUUCUGAGUAGCUGAGACUACAGGCGUGCACCACCAUGCCCAACUAAUUUUUUUAAAAGUUUUUUUCUAGAGAUAGGGUCUUGCUAUGUUGCCCAGACUGGUCUUGAAUUCCUGGGCUCAAGCGAUCCUUCUGCCUCGGCCUCCCAAAGUGCUGGGAUUUCAGGCGUGAGCCACCGUGCCCAGCCACUAAUAUGUAUUGUCCAGACCUCUUCGCUAACCUCCAGAUCUGUGGCUCCAACCGCCUACCUGACAGUCGCCAAGCAGACCCCCUGCCAGGUCGCAGCCUCGGGCCAUGGUCCCUCCGUAUCCCCACACAUACAGCUGGGAACCUUGGUGUUACCCUUUCUGUUUCCUCUUCCUUCACUCUCCUCCCCUGACCCCCAGCCUAGCCCCCAUGUCUUGUCAACUUUGAGCUCCUGAAUCUGUCUACCCACCUCCGGGCCCCGGACCCCUCCACCCCGGACCUGGGAAAAGGCCCCUUACCUGAUCCCCAGAAGCCCUUGGCCUGUCCAAACCCGUCUCCAUACUCAGUGAGGUUUUCCAAGUACAGAUCUGACUGAAGUCCCCUGCGGCAGCCCUGUGCUGACAUCCAUUGCCCCAAGGAUAAAGACCUGGGUCCUCAGUCCCUCCACAGCAGCCUGCACCCAAGUCCCCUCGCUGAGCUCCAGCCACUGGCCCCGCUGGGCAGAAGUGACCAUGUGAUACAGAGCUCCCGCCUCCCCGGAGUGGGAUGCUCUGUGGCUGCGUGUGCCCUACAGCAGCACGGUUCAGUAGGCAGAGGCCACUUCUACUACCCGGCUAAGGAAAAGAUGGGCAGAGCCUGCUCUGGAUGACGCUGUGUUCCAGCCGGCGGAGAGGGUCCCCCAUUUCCUCGGAACUAAUCCUCCAGGAAAUUAACAGACAGUUUGCUGUGGACAACUAGAGCCCUCCCCUUCCUUAGCCCUGAGCGAGGUAAACAAUUCUGCUCUGCCUUCCGGAAGUUUCAAAUUAGCUCUUCAACCAGCGUUUUCACGCAGCUUCCAGUCCUGCCACAGUCUUGAAGAAGAGAUCAGCUUUCGCGUCUUCAUUCUUGCCAAGAUUAGCUGCCCUUCGAAUCUCCCGUGUGUCAUUAAUCCCAGCACGAACAAGCACUUGGGAACUGCGGGCUGCAGAUGGUCUGCUUAUCCUACGGAACCCUCCUCUUUUGAGGCUUAACCCCUUUAGUCUUUGUUGCUUCUGUAGCUUUCUGAUGCCAUUAAAGAGAUGAUUUUUAUA